RNAcentral lists this ribosomal RNA (465 nucleotides) under Vreelandella stevensii. RNAcentral's name for it is "partial 16S ribosomal RNA". It matches the Rfam family "Bacterial small subunit ribosomal RNA", at positions 338 to 795 of the family's 1533-position model. Lineage: Bacteria; Pseudomonadati; Pseudomonadota; Gammaproteobacteria; Oceanospirillales; Halomonadaceae. The record is from RNAcentral.
CCUACGGGUGGCAGCAGUGGGGAAUAUUGGACAAUGGGGGGAACCCUGAUCCAGCCAUGCCGCGUGUGUGAAGAAGGCCCUCGGGUUGUAAAGCACUUUCAGUGAGGAAGAACGCCUGGUGGUUAAUACCCAUCAGGAAAGACAUCACUCACAGAAGAAGCACCGGCUAACUCCGUGCCAGCAGCCGCGGUAAUACGGAGGGUGCGAGCGUUAAUCGGAAUUACUGGGCGUAAAGCGCGCGUAGGUGGCUUGAUAAGCCGGUUGUGAAAGCCCCGGGCUCAACCUGGGAACGGCAUCCGGAACUGUCAAGCUAGAGUGCAGGAGAGGAAGGUAGAAUUCCCGGUGUAGCGGUGAAAGGCGUAGAGAUCGGGAGGAAUACCAGUGGCGAAGGCGGCCUUCUGGACUGACACUGACACUGAGGUGCGAAAGCGUGGGUAGCAAACAGGAUUAGAUACCCCGGUAGUC